GCACCGCAUCGCCGCUUUGCCCCGCGACCGCGCGCGCCUCCUCGUCCUCCCCCGCGCCUUUGUUUCCGUCUCCUUCUCCUUUCCCUCCUCUUUUGUGUCGGGCCAGACUCAGCCCCAGAAACCAGCCACCCUGCCGCGUCCGACUGCCAGGGAUCCCUCACGCCGCGAGGAAGAGACACUAGAGAGACACUCAGCUGCAGUGAGAAUACACAGGCAUCUUCAAGUACCAGAGAUGUCUCCAAGAGCACCAGCAACCCCAGCUAUCUGGAUCUGAAGUGGAUAUGCUCAGAGACAUCCUGGCCCACCCCAAAGAAGAUGCUGCUGCACUCAGAAGACGCCAGAGCUAGCCACCACCCACACUGCAAGUCUGGAAGCUCUGCAAGGACCCAGCAAGGCAGCCUGCUCAGCGAAGGCUUUGUCUCCUGUGGCAGGAAGAGCAACAUUAAGAACAAGAACCCCGGGCUGGACUACCCCUGAGAUUUAAUGACCAGAGCUGAGACCCCCAAGACCACAAUGACUAUGGAGGGCUGUCAUUACCCUGCCUGACCCUCUAAUGCCUCUCAGUUCAAGGAGGCCACUGAGUGAAACUGAAGGCUGGUUUUCCUUGGAAGCCAGCGGCCCAUCCACCUGCUCCACUUCCCUGCCUCUUGCAGCCUCCGCUCAAACACUGUCGUGGCUUGGCAGCACUACAAGGCAGAGUGAAAACAGAUACUUCUACCCACAUUCCUAUCUCCUCUCAUUUACGCAGAUUAAAUGCUUUCUUUCCUUGUUUUACACUGCUAGGAUUUUCAUCACCCUGUUUUUUCUUUCUCUACAUCAGCUACAAGAAAAAAAAAAGGAGUUACUGAGCAACUAAGAAGUCACAACUGUUUUCAGUUUUAUUAAUGAGUUGUUAUACUUAUUUUAUAGAUAGAGAAUUACCAUUAUAACAUUGCUCCAUUGCCCACUCAUCCAUUCACGCAUCUGUCCAUCCGUCCAUCCACCCAUUUGUCCACUCCCCAAAUGGUCAUCAAUUGUCUACUGUGAGCCAAGCAAAGUGCUCCUUACUUUGGACUCUGAAUCCAGUGCUCUUUCUACUUCACCAUAGACACAUGCCCCUUGAGUAUAAGGGAGCUUGAUUCAUUCAACAAAUAUCUGUUGUCCAUCUCCAAUGUACUGGCAUAUUCUAAAUGCAUCCAACAAAAACCAAAAUGAAAAAAAAGAAAAACCCAUUCCUUCAAGGGGAUUGCAUUCGGACUGGGGGAGACAGAUAAAAUAAAAAUAAUGAAGUCAAAUAUAUAUGUUAGUGACAUGUGCCAUGAAGAAUAAUGCCCAAUAGGUAAAUGGGGCAAUUAACAAACGUAAUGUAAAUAAAUUAGUUCCAAGAAAUCAUUGACUCACCAACAGAGGGAACACAAUUUGGUCCAUGGUAAAAUAUUCCUUGGUAUUAAUAAUUUCUUCUCCUAAAGUAUUUCAGGGGCUGCCAAGCUGCUCUCCUGUUUCCUCUUCCUUGGGGCUGAUUGCAUCCCAUGAUGUGCCCAGGUUUUGAGAUGCUCCUCGUGAAUGAAAAUAGGACUGUCUGGUUCCUCCAUCCAUAGCAAGGGAGCCUAGACAGAAAUAACUUCUGUGCAUUUCUCCAGCUACAUUUAGGGAAAACUAGAAAAUACAGAAAUAUAUCAAGAAGAAAAAAAAUUUAAAAAUGACCCAAAA
Long non-coding RNA from Homo sapiens (human), 1689 nucleotides. Ensembl annotates it as long intergenic non-protein coding RNA 2981. The record is from Ensembl. NCBI's taxonomy places the organism in Eukaryota, Metazoa, Chordata, Mammalia, Primates, Hominidae.